GGGGAGAUGAUGCAUCAUGUACAACUGACUCUCACUGAUGGUCUUUGUAUUCAUACUGUCUGAUCCUA
Molecule: small nucleolar RNA, 68 nt
Organism: Hippocampus comes (tiger tail seahorse)
Lineage: Eukaryota; Metazoa; Chordata; Actinopteri; Syngnathiformes; Syngnathidae
Source: Ensembl